Molecule: small nucleolar RNA, 87 nt
Organism: Galleria mellonella (greater wax moth)
Lineage: Eukaryota; Metazoa; Arthropoda; Insecta; Lepidoptera; Pyralidae
Product: small nucleolar RNA snR60/Z15/Z230/Z193/J17
Exons: 1
Source: RefSeq, a predicted model, not a curated record
CUAGCAUAAUGAUGAUUUCAUAGUUCAUCUGAGAAGGUACUUUGAUGCACAACUCAUUUAUGUCUUUCGCUCCUAUCUGAUAACAUA